RNAcentral lists this ribosomal RNA (484 nucleotides) under uncultured bacterium. RNAcentral describes it as "partial 16S ribosomal RNA". It matches the Rfam family "Bacterial small subunit ribosomal RNA", at positions 30 to 507 of the family's 1533-position model. The record is from RNAcentral.
AUUGAACGCUGGCGGCAGGCCUAACACAUGCAAGUCGAGCGGAUGAAGGGAGCUUGCUCCUGGAUUCAGCGGCGGACGGGUGAGUAAUGCCUAGGAAUCUGCCUGGUAGUGGGGGAUAACGUCCGGAAACGGGCGCUAAUACCGCAUACGUCCUGAGGGAGAAAGUGGGGGAUCUUCGGGCCUCACGCUAUCAGAUGAGCCUAGGUCGGAUUAGCUAGUUGGUGGGGUAAAGGCCUACCAAGGCGACGAUCCGUAACUGGUCUGAGAGGAUGAUCAGUCACACUGGAACUGAGACACGGUCCAGACUCCUACGGGAGGCAGCAGUGGCGAAUAUUGGACAAUGGGCGAAAGCCUGAUCCAGCCAUGCCGCGUGUGUGAAGAAGGUCUUCGGAUUGUAAAGCACUUUAAGUUGGGAGGAAGGGCAGUAAGUUAAUACCUUGCUGUUUUGACGUUACCAACAGAAUAAGCACCGGCUAACUUCGUG